RNAcentral lists this long non-coding RNA (1242 nucleotides) under Astyanax mexicanus (Mexican tetra). Its description in RNAcentral is "lncRNA (ENSAMXG00005025336.1)". Lineage: Eukaryota; Metazoa; Chordata; Actinopteri; Characiformes; Acestrorhamphidae. The record is from RNAcentral.
AUGAGGCCUCACGGAUCAUAUUUGAGUUGCCAUGUUUCUUCCUGUAGUCUUCUUCCUAUAGGAAGAAUUUCUCUUAAAAGGUCAAGACAGAGGCCUCUGAUCUUCAUUAAUACUGGUCCAAAACAUGGCCCUUAUCUGUGCUUUGCUCAGGUUCAGGCUUCUCAGAGCUAUUCCACCUCCAGCAGGGACACAUUUAAAGCAGAAGCUCCCAUCGGAGUUUACCAGAACAGCGAGGCUGCUUUUCAAAUGCGGCUAUUGGAGACGAGACUUGGGGAUUCCUUCAAACAUCUGUCUAGACGUGUUAAUGUAUACUUUAAGCAGAAGGAGAAGACUGGGUCUGGUGGUUCUGGUCAGGCUAGCUUUGCAUCUGCAGUACUGGAGCCUGCCACUAGAGUGCAGAGGCAAGAAAUUAAAGAUAGAUCUUAUAUGGUGAAAGAUACUACUGAGGGAGCCUUCACAAUCAAGCCUGAGGAAGCAUCACUGUUCUCCAAAUAUUCUGGUUUACAGCUGUUCCAUAUCAGCUCACUGGCAACCAGGUUUGGCGAGUCCUACAACUACGUAGCCAAUCAUAUAAACUCUGUAUUUUCCAAGAAUCCAAUAAAACAAACCUAUGCGAAACUGCAAACACCUGCAGAUAUGGUUCGAAGAUGCAGAACGAGAGAGAGAAGAGUUACAAACCAACAAAAUAUAAUUUCAGAAACUGGCUCAGACACUUAUAAUUCAAGCCCAGCAGCAAGAGAUGGACACAAUACAGAUCUUUCCUGUUCUUGGGAAGAGGGGUAUCUCCACUUCGCUCGUCGUAUCAACCAAUACUUUGGGGCGAAAACAGCAGAAACCUUAGAAAAAUACAAGAAUAAUCAAAGCACAUAUUCUUCAAAACAUAAGCAGCCUACCCUAGAAAGCCCAGAGAACCCAAUGCCCCUCAGACCUAAAUCCCUAUUCCACAUAAGCAACCUCACUACGCACUUCGGAGAAAGCUACGCCUAUAUGGGCACCCACAUCAACCAUUACUUCAAAGGCUCUGCAGCCGCAGAAGAGGAAAUAGAGAGAGAUCCUUACAGAGGACAGUCUGAAUACACAGUCACUCCAGCGAGAGAAGCUGGGUUCUUUUUCCAGAGCUUUUUCAACCCCUCAGCCAUCCCCAGCAUUGUGGGCAGCUACCUAGGAAAGGUCUCUAGUGGUUCUACUGCUCCAGAGGCCAGGCUGGAUAGAGUGGUGAGUAUUACUCCAGUUGUUUUCUAG